AGUGAACGCUGGCGGUAGGCCUAACACAUGCAAGUCGAACGGCAGCACAGUAAGAGCUUGCUCUUACGGGUGGCGAGUGGCGGAAGGGUGAGGAAUACAUCGGAAUCUACUUUUUCGUGGGGGAUAACGUAGGGAAACUUACGCUAAUACAGCAUACGACCUACGGGUGAAAGCAGGGGAUCUUCGGCCCUUGCGCGAUUGAAUGAGCCGCUGUCGGAUUAGCUAGUUGGCGGGGUAAAGGCCCACCAAGGCGACGAUCCGUAGCUGGUCUGAGAGGAUGAUCAGCCACACUGGAACUGAGACACGGUCCAGACUCCUACGGGAGGCAGCAGUGGGGAAUAUUGGACAAUGGGGGCAAGCCUGAUCCAGCCAUACCGCGUGGGUGAAGAAGGCCUUCGGGUUGUAAAGCCCUUUUGUUGGGAAAGAAAAGCAGCAGGUUAAUACCCCGCUGUUCUGACGGUACCCAAAGAAUAAGCACCGGCUAACUUCGUG
This 492-nucleotide ribosomal RNA is filed under the name uncultured bacterium. RNAcentral describes it as "partial 16S ribosomal RNA". It matches the Rfam family "Bacterial small subunit ribosomal RNA", at positions 29 to 507 of the family's 1533-position model. The record is from RNAcentral.